This 72-nucleotide transfer RNA is filed under the name Camelus bactrianus (Bactrian camel). It matches the Rfam family "tRNA". From Rfam's summary of the family: Transfer RNA (tRNA) molecules are approximately 80 nucleotides in length. Their secondary structure includes four short double-helical elements and three loops (D, anti-codon, and T loops). The record is from Rfam by way of RNAcentral. Lineage: Eukaryota; Metazoa; Chordata; Mammalia; Artiodactyla; Camelidae. RNAcentral also lists the same sequence under 2 other names.
GAGGGAAUAGCUCAGUGGUAGAGCACAUGCUUAGCAUGCACAAGGUCCUGGGUUCAGUCCCCAGUACCUCCA